RNAcentral lists this ribosomal RNA (460 nucleotides) under uncultured bacterium. RNAcentral describes it as "partial 16S ribosomal RNA". It matches the Rfam family "Bacterial small subunit ribosomal RNA", at positions 338 to 795 of the family's 1533-position model. The record is from RNAcentral.
CCUACGGGUGGCUGCAGUGAGGAAUAUUGGUCAAUGGGCGCGAGCCUGAACCAGCCAAGUAGCGUGAAGGAUGACUGCCCUACUGGUUGUAAACUUCUUUUAUAAAGGAAUAAAGUGAGGCACGUGUGCCUUUUUGUAUUUACUUUAUGAAUAAGGAUCGGCUAACUCCGUGCCAGCAGCCGCGGUACUCCGGAGGCUCCGCGCGUUAUCCGUGUUUAUUGGGUUUAAAGGGAGCGUAGAUGGGUUGUUAAGUCAGUUGUGAAAGUUUGCUGCUCAACCGUAAAAUUGCAAUUGAUACUGGCAGUGUUGAGUACAUGUGAGGUAGGCGGAAUUCGUGGUGUAGCGGUGAAAUGCUUAGAUAUCACGAAGAACUCCGAGUGCGAAGGCAGCUUACUAAACUGCCACUGACAUUGAUGCUCGAAAGUGUGGGUAUCAAACAGGAGUAGAUACCCUUGUAGUC